CAUAAAAUCAAUUAAAUAUUUGAAAAUAGUGAGAAUUGUCAAAAUAACUUAUCAAUUACAUAUUUAGAAAAUUGCAAUUCGGUUUACUCCUGCAAAUAUGUAUGUAGAUGCAUUAGAACAACCUCUCCCAAUUGCGGUCUAUUGGGGCCAUUUCAACAUUUUCAAAAAUUUCGAAGAUUAUUGCAUGGAUGUAUGAAUGUAUGUUUUUUGCUAGUGUAAGCAGGUCUUCAGCUCUUGUACAUGUUAUUAAUAAAAACACUUAUGUAUGUACGGAGGUAUUUAAUAUAUCGUCUUACUUUUCUAUUCUCACCCCUUCAUACAUUUUAUUGUGUCGAUCCUUUUAAAAGAGAAACAACACUCAAAAUAACCCUAAUAUUAUAUUAUAUAACUAUAGCCGAGCCAUUGAUCUUGUGCUCGUUAAAUGAAGUUUUGUAAAUUUUUUUCCAGACUCCUGUAAUCCCUGUAAUUUUCAGAGAAAAAUCUGUUUUCAAAUAAGUUAAUUCUUUUUUUGGGUUUAAAGAUUUUAUUUUUCUUUAAAAAUUAUAACUUGCUAGUGGAUCCGGCCGCGCGUUGUUGUGGUAUACAUUUUAUACCAUUAUUCAAUACAGUGAAAGUUUUAUUUACGAAAACGUUUUUGUCGGUAUAAGAAUCCGAGGGAUUGUACUUGAGGCUUAAUUUUGGAUAUCUUGAUGUAAGUAAAUUUCAUUGGAAAAAUAACGAAUUUAAGGCUGUUUUAUCAAUGUCUGGUUACUGGCCUUUCUAUCCAGUUAAUAGAGUUGUCCGCUUCAUUGUGGGACCGGCCAAUGAGCGUAGUUAAUGGAGAUGUCCGCUUAAUAGAGCGUUCAUUUAAUGGCUAAAUUUUGCUAAAAUCGGUUCAGAAGUUUAGGAGUCUGUCGCGGACAACGUGACACGUAUUUUUUAUAUAUAAAGAUUAUUUGUAUUCUGUGCAUUUAUCAUCUUCUCGUUAUGUGGUAUCAUACAGCAUACUCGUACAUACUUACAUACAUAUGCUUAUAAAGAGAUGUAUUUAAAAUUUUGAUAUAUCAAACCUAACGUUUGGUUCUCAAUAUUCGAUAAGAGAAUGGAAUUGAGCUUUUGCACUACGCCCCUUUAUUGAAAUUACUAUAAUAGUAACAACAAUAAUGAAUGGCAAACCGAUAAGAAAUUUAAAUGUCACAACUAUUUAAGACGAAAUCUUCUUGAUUGCCUUUGAAACGUGAUCAGCGCUGGAAGUUCGGGCUUUUGAUAAAAUAAUAUUCAUAGACGGUGCUGAAAUAAUUUUUGGUGAAUACUUGUUGUAGAAAAUCGGUGAAAAUGUAUUGGUUUCGCGUGUUAGCUCAAGUUAUUUUACUUUUGUUUGUGUUCGACGCGAAUGCUUCACAAUUUGAAGUUAAUACUCUGACUUUCAAGGGCGUUUGUGAGCAGAAGGGUGGAGAUUGGUGCAGCCUAAAAUGCCAAAUAGCAGGUGGGCGCGAUGGUUAUUGCAACAAAGCAAAAAUCUGUAAUUGUAGGCAAAUGUAAGCGGAAUGCUCCAUGGAAUUCGAUAUACUUAUAAAUGUUUGCGCAUACCUUGGGCAUAUGUAUGAAAACUAUCUCUAAAUAAAGACGGCAUCUUUUUCUUA
Bactrocera dorsalis (oriental fruit fly) is the source of this 1622-nucleotide RNA transcript. RefSeq lists it as uncharacterized. The transcript has 2 exons. Lineage: Eukaryota; Metazoa; Arthropoda; Insecta; Diptera; Tephritidae. The record is from RefSeq and is a predicted model, not a curated record.